Sinocyclocheilus grahami is the source of this 383-nucleotide long non-coding RNA. RefSeq lists it as uncharacterized. The record is from RefSeq and is a predicted model, not a curated record. The transcript has 3 exons. Lineage: Eukaryota; Metazoa; Chordata; Actinopteri; Cypriniformes; Cyprinidae.
UGUGUCAAAAAGCAGGAAGCGCACAAUUGGGUUUUUAUUAACUAGGUUUCUUUGGAACAUCAUACUGAAAGUCAUUUGUCUCUGUCCAGCAGGAAAUGUUCUCUCAUGUCUCUCUAAUUUUUCUCGAAGCACAGUGUCUUUCAAUGUAUCCUGCCCUGUUGCACUAAGUAACCAUCAGUUAAGUGCAGUGUUCCUCAGAAGAGCACGCUGCUUAUGUGGAGAUGGAGGAACGUGCUCGCAGCUGCCUGCUGCGCUCCAAAGCCACCCUGGAGCAGGACAUCAAAGCCUCCUACUUGAUGGACCACAUGGUCAGUGACGGCAUCCUGACAAAUGAUGAAGAAUCAAGGGUGCUUGGCAAGCCUACUAGAAGAGAGCAGGCCGAG